AAGUCGUAACAAGGUUUCCGUAGGUGAACCUGCGGAAGGAUCAUUAACACUUUUGGAUUCGUCCCAAAUUAACAAAUUCAAUUAACUCAAACCCCUACUUGCAAACAAAAAACAAAUUAUAAUCUAACCUUAUCUUAACCUUAUCUUAACCUUAUCUUAACCUUAUAUAAUAAUAACUCUUUUAUAUAACACCUAACUCUAUAACUACUUGACUAAUUUUCGAUUGUUAAAAGCUCAACAACUUAUUAAAAACAAUUGACUCUCCAAUGUCAAAGUUGGAUUGAGACUUGUGUAUGAUGGUUUUGAGUUUAUCAAUCAAUACAAUUCAUUGUAGUGAUGAAUUGUAUUCUUCAACUAAUCUUACAACUCUUAACAAUGGAUAUCUAGGUUCUC
Molecule: unclassified non-coding RNA, 393 nt
Filed under: fungal sp.
Lineage: Eukaryota; Fungi
Description: partial internal transcribed spacer region
Rfam family: Eukaryotic small subunit ribosomal RNA (bases 1-46)
Source: RNAcentral